This 148-nucleotide small RNA is filed under the name Pongo abelii (Sumatran orangutan). RNAcentral describes it as "Metazoan signal recognition particle RNA (ENSPPYG00000038074.1)". Lineage: Eukaryota; Metazoa; Chordata; Mammalia; Primates; Hominidae. The record is from Rfam by way of RNAcentral.
GCCGGGCAUGGUGGCGCAUGCCUGUAAUCCCAGCUACUUGGGAGGCUGAAGCAGAAGAAUCAUUUGAGCCCGGGAGGCGAAGGUUGCAGUGAGCUGAGAUUGCACCACUGCACUCCAACCCGGGUGACAGAGUGAGACUCCGUCUCAA